CGUGUAGGCUGCUCUGCAAGUCGGGUGUGAAAGCCCUGGGCUCAACCUAGGAAGUGCACUCGAAACUGCGGAGCUUGAGUUUCGGAGAGGAAGGCGGAAUUCUCGGUGUAGAGGCGAAAUUCGUAGAUAUCGAGAGGAACACCGGUGGCGAAGGCGGCCUUCUGGACGAUGACUGACGCUGAGACGCGAAAGCGUGGGGAGCAAACA
This 207-nucleotide ribosomal RNA is filed under the name uncultured delta proteobacterium. Its description in RNAcentral is "partial 16S ribosomal RNA". It matches the Rfam family "Bacterial small subunit ribosomal RNA", at positions 568 to 774 of the family's 1533-position model. The record is from RNAcentral. Lineage: Bacteria; Deltaproteobacteria.